AGCAGUCGAACGAUGAAGCCGAAGCUUGCUUUGGUGGAUUAGUGGCGAACGGGUGAGUAACACGUGAGUAACCUGCCCCUGACUCUGGGAUAAGCCUGGGAAACUGGGUCUAAUACCGGAUAUGACUGCGGAACGCAUGUUCUGUGGUGGAAAGAUUUAUCGGUUGGGGAUGGACUCGCGGCCUAUCAGCUUGUUGGUGAGGUAAUGGCUCACCAAGGCGACGACGGGUAGCCGGCCUGAGAGGGUGACCGGCCACACUGGGACUGAGACACGGCCCAGACUCCUACGGGAGGCAGCAGUGGGGAAUAUUGCACAAUGGGCGAAAGCCUGAUGCAGCGACGCCGCGUGAGGGAUGACGGCCUUCGGGUUGUAAACCUCUUUCAGUAGGGAAGAAGCGAGAGUGACGGUACCUGCAGAAGAAGCGCCGGCUAACUACGUGCCAGCAGCCGCGGUAAUACGUAGGGCGCAAGCGUUAUCCGGAUUUAUUGGGCGUAAAGAGCUCGUAGGCGGUUUGUCGCGUCUGCCGUGAAAGUCCGAGGCUCAACCUCGGAUCUGCGGUGGGUACGGGCAGACUAGAGUGAUGUAGGGGAGACUGGAAUUCCUGGUGUAGCGGUGAAAUGCGCAGAUAUCAGGAGGAACACCGAUGGCGAAGGCAGGUCUCUGGGCAUUUACUGACGCUGAGGAGCGAAAGCAUGGGGAGCGAACAGGAUUAGAUACCCUGGUAGUCCAUGCCGUAAACGUUGGGCACUAGGUGUGGGGGACAUUCCACGUUUUCCGCGCCGUAGCUAACGCAUUAAGUGCCCCGCCUGGGGAGUACGGCCGCAAGGCUAAAACUCAAAGGAAUUGACGGGGGCCCGCACAAGCGGCGGAGCAUGCGGAUUAAUUCGAUGCAACGCGAAGAACCUUACCAAGGCUUGACAUGUUCCAGACCGGGCUAGAGAUAGUCCUUCCCUUCGGGGCUGGUUCACAGGUGGUGCAUGGUUGUCGUCAGCUCGUGUCGUGAGAUGUUGGGUUAAGUCCCGCAACGAGCGCAACCCUCGUUCCAUGUUGCCAGCACGUAGUGGUGGGGACUCAUGGGAGACUGCCGGGGUCAACUCGGAGGAAGGUGGGGAUGACGUCAAAUCAUCAUGCCCCUUAUGUCUUGGGCUUCACGCAUGCUACAAUGGCCGGUACAAUGGGUUGCGAUACUGUGAGGUGGAGCUAAUCCCUAAAAGCCGGUCUCAGUUCGGAUUGGGGUCUGCAACUCGACCCCAUGAAGUCGGAGUCGCUAGUAAUCGCAGAUCAGCAACGCU
The sequence is a ribosomal RNA, 1292 nucleotides long. It matches the Rfam family "Bacterial small subunit ribosomal RNA", at positions 56 to 1358 of the family's 1533-position model.